UAUAAAUGCUUCGCUCUCUCCUCAAAUUUCCUGACCCAUGGCUGCCUUGCCUCAGGCUGGGCUCAGAAAUUUAUGAGGGUUGCUGUCACCACCACCAGAUGUGUUCCCUGCACUUUGGACUUCCUAGCCUCUGAACUAAUCUUUGCUCCAAAUACUGGAAGGCAGCACCCACAGAGGCAGGUACAACACCUUCUACUAGCAUGAAUGAAGCCCCUCCUUUCACGUAACUCCACAUCAUGUCACUAGAAGGGUGAUCUGGAAACUCUGUUACCAGAACUUGAGGCAAGUGCACCGUGAUCACCAUGGGACAAGUAUGUUUCAAAACUCAUCUGUGGCCCUGGAUGCCAGUUUUUGACUAACAGAGGACUUUUGCUAUGUCUGGGUGAUGUCUUCAAAGAAGGUGAAUUGGGAACCACCCAGGGUCCUGAUGUGUGGAUCUGGGGACCAGACCCUCCUCCCACAAUCAGGCACACCACCAAUGUCAUGGGGCCUGCCUGGCGUCCUGAGGCAUGGAGCUGGGAGCCACUAGCAACUAGAGAAAAGGAAAGCCGUCUGCAGAGAGAAAGAAGGAGACAAGUAGCUGGAUAGAGCACUUGAAGAGAGCUGUACAUGGAGCACAAUGAUUAUAUCUACAAAUACAGAAUCACUUUUGAACCCCACAGAGACCAUCGGAAUGGUUUCAGAAUUGACCCUACCCAGUGGUAGCUAAUAGCACUGAUACCUCACAUGAAAUAAAAAACAUAUUUAAAAAAUGA
Molecule: long non-coding RNA, 755 nt
Organism: Cynocephalus volans (Philippine flying lemur)
Lineage: Eukaryota; Metazoa; Chordata; Mammalia; Dermoptera; Cynocephalidae
Exons: 9
Source: RefSeq, a predicted model, not a curated record